CUCCGUGGAUAGGACUGGUCUGUGUAACUAAGAGAAUGUUGCUGAAAUGAGGGAGUGUGACUUCAGAGUCCAGGUCAUAAAGGACAUUGUAGCCUCACCUUGUACAUCUUAGCUCUCUCACUGUAGCCAAAGCCAGCCGCCAUGGCAGCAGAAUACUCCAACAGCCCUGUGGAGAACUGAGGCCUCCCUCCAACAGUCAGCACCAACAUGGCAGCCAUGUGAGUGAACUUCAUGGAAGGGGCUCCUCCAGCCCCAGUCAAGCCUUCAGAUGACAGCAGGCUGGGCUGGUCACCUGACUGCAGUGUCAUGAGAGACCGGGAGCCAGAAUCACCCAGCUUAGCUCCUCCGGAAUCCCUGAGCUACAGAGACCAUGUAGAACCUUUGUUCUUUUAAGUUUGAGGACUGUUUCCUGAGUACCCUUCAGCUGAAGAGGAACUCCUCUUAGAAACUCAGCCUCGACCAUCACAGUUCAUCUUGAGGCUGUAUGAAUGCCCUUGACUUCCAGAAAAGAAAAGCACAGAGGGAGCUUGGGGAAGAUCUUCUGUAUUUGUGGUGGCUCUUAUCCAAGAAGGCCCCCCCCCCUCCCACACUGAACACAGCUGACCUGCAUAAUCCCUGGGAUGUUGUGGAAAUGACAGCAUGACUUGAGACACUAGAUUAAGUAAGACCUUGUGGCUUCUGCCUUGUUUUUUUUUUUGGGUCACUCUCCCUGGAAGAAACCAGCCACCGUGUUGUGAGGUGGUACCCUGUGGGGAGGCCCGAAUGCCACCAGCAGCCAACACUUGGCUUGCCAGCCAUGCGAGCGAGCAGAUCUUCCAGUCCGGGUCAAGCCUUCAGAUGAUGACAGCACCAAAAACCAUCUUGACUGAACCUUGUUAGUGAGCCCCUGGCUAAGCCGCGCUCCCAUUCCUGACCCACAGAAAUUGUGUGAGAUGAUAAAUGUUUACUGUUUUAUGCUGCCAAGACUCUGGGGGAAUUUGUUAUGCAGCCAUGGGUGACCGUUACAGUAUCUGAAUCCACACGUGCCGGAGCAGAGCGGGGCACUCCAGCACAAAGAGAGGUACUAUGGUGAUGUCAUAACUAAUCACGGAUUGUCACAGAGCUCUGUAAAUAGAGGAUAAUUUGACCCCAAACAAGGUGGGAUGUUAGUAAGGAAAUGGAGUGGGAGUUUCUUUGACGUGGUUCUGACUCACCCAGUGAUUCCUCACUCCCGUUUCCUUUUCCUGCCAUCUCUGCUUGUGUAAGCACAUCUCGGACUGUAUUUACAAAUCAAAAUCAGAAAGCCUCAGAUCUCUCUCACCCUGAGAACUUAUCAUCUAAAAUCACAACCAGGAGGCCUAAAUAAAGAGAAAAGAAGGAACAAAAGGAAGAAAAAGGAACGUUUUGGUCUCCCACUGCCCUUUCUCUUUCUAUUAAAAUACUUGUCCAUCACGGUUA
Neofelis nebulosa (Clouded leopard) is the source of this 1437-nucleotide long non-coding RNA. RefSeq lists it as uncharacterized. Lineage: Eukaryota; Metazoa; Chordata; Mammalia; Carnivora; Felidae. The record is from RefSeq and is a predicted model, not a curated record. The transcript is spliced from 3 exons.